RNAcentral lists this ribosomal RNA (254 nucleotides) under uncultured prokaryote. RNAcentral's name for it is "partial 16S ribosomal RNA". It matches the Rfam family "Bacterial small subunit ribosomal RNA", at positions 524 to 776 of the family's 1533-position model. The record is from RNAcentral.
UACGUAGGGAGCGAGCGUUGUCCGGAUUCAUUGGGCGUAAAGAGCUCGUAGGCGGUUUGAUAAGUCGGAUGUGAAACCUCCAGGCUCAACCUGGAGUCGCCAUCUGAUACUGUCAUGACUAGAGUCCGGUAGGGGCCCACGGAACUCCUGGUGUAGCGGUGAAAUGCGCAGAUAUCAGGAAGAACACCGGUGGCGAAGGCGGUGGGCUGGGCCGGCACUGACGCUGAGGAGCGAAAGCGUGGGGAGCGAACAGG